Molecule: long non-coding RNA, 957 nt
Organism: Capsicum annuum
Lineage: Eukaryota; Viridiplantae; Streptophyta; Magnoliopsida; Solanales; Solanaceae
Exons: 2
Source: RefSeq, a predicted model, not a curated record
AAUUGGAAGAGUUCUCAUUGGAGACUACUUCCUUCAUCCUCCUAUUUUCCAUACACUUACGAUCUCAUUGUUCACACUGUAUUACUUUUUGCAGAUUAUAGACAUCUGAUUGACACCCAUCAGAAUGUUUUUUUCAAUUUUCAUAAUCCAUUCAAAAAAACAAAAAAAAUGGUACGCGAAAACGGCAUGGAGACAACGACAUUCCCUCAAAACGUGAUUAUAGUGGCUUCUCUAGCAGCGAUAGGGUUUUCAAUUUGGUCACGUUUCAACGAGAGCGCUACGCAUUUCCAGAAAGUGUGGGAGAUGCCUUCGCUAAUACUAAUACUGUCAGUGUUUCUACUAGUAUUUUCAGUUAUGAUAUUGGUUGGACGAUUGCAUUACAUUUAGGAUCUUGGUGCACUUGGUCAAUUAGGGAAUCAUCUGUUUAUUGCUUUUCGUAGUUUUGGUCACCAAUAGAAACGCGAGCAGGGCGUCAUUUGGGAGAGGUGGAAAUUACUCGCACGACUUGUUGAAGAAGCUUGUGGUGCAUGAAGAGUAUUGGCAGCACAUUAAGGGCUGUUAUUUUGCUUACGGAUUUUGUCAGCGUACUCACAAAGGGUUUUAUUCUCAUAUUCAGUCGAAUUGUUGCAAGCCUCCAAGUAACUGUGGCUUUGAGUUUCACAAUGCUACCUACUGGACCAUACCCAAAGCAGGGCCAAUGAUAGCAGACGGUGACUGUAAGAUUUGGAGCAAUGCACAAAAUGAUCUCUGUUUCAAUUGCCAAUCAUGUAGGACAACAUUUCUUGUUCCCUCGUCUUUAUAAUCAUCUUCCUUAGCUUACACUUGCUUUAUUAUGUUGUCUUUGUGUUGCCUGGAGGAAGAACAGAUCAAAGGGAUACCAAUGUCCCAUAGUACACCCUGCAUGAGAGAUGUUGGUCCAUUAGAUUUCCAUUUUCUUAAUGAGUAAUAUUUGUUUGA